GCCAAGGUGGCAGAGCCCGGUCAUAUGCGGUGGCCUGCAGAGCCGCUCUACGCCGGUUCGAAUCCGGCCCUUGGCU
RNAcentral lists this transfer RNA (76 nucleotides) under uncultured archaeon A07HR60. It matches the Rfam family "tRNA". Rfam says of the family: Transfer RNA (tRNA) molecules are approximately 80 nucleotides in length. The record is from Rfam by way of RNAcentral.